This 253-nucleotide ribosomal RNA is filed under the name uncultured bacterium. Its description in RNAcentral is "partial 16S ribosomal RNA". It matches the Rfam family "Bacterial small subunit ribosomal RNA", at positions 524 to 776 of the family's 1533-position model. The record is from RNAcentral.
GACGAACCGUGCGAACGUUGUUCGGAAUCACUGGGCUUAAAGGGCGCGUAGGCGGGCGACCAAGUCAGGGGUGAAAUCCCACGGCUCAACCGUGGAAGUGCCUUUGAUACUGGUUGUCUCGAGGGAGGUAGGGGCGUGCGGAACUUCCGGUGGAGCGGUGAAAUGCGUAGAUAUCGGAAGGAACGCCGGUGGCGAAAGCGGCGCGCUGGACCUCUUCUGACGCUGAGGCGCGAAAGCUAGGGGAGCAAACGGG